RNAcentral lists this ribosomal RNA (393 nucleotides) under uncultured bacterium. RNAcentral's name for it is "partial 16S ribosomal RNA". It matches the Rfam family "Bacterial small subunit ribosomal RNA", at positions 523 to 918 of the family's 1533-position model. The record is from RNAcentral.
AUACGGAGGAUCCGAGCGUUAUCCGGAUUUAUUGGGUUUAAAGGGUGCGCAGGCGGGAGAUUAAGUCGGCGGGGAAAUUUUGCGGCUCAACUGUAAAAGUGCCUUCGAAACUGGGUUUCUUGAGUGUAGAUGAAGGAGGCGGAAUUUGUGGGGUAGCGGUGGAAUGCAUAGAUAUCACGAGGAACUCCGAUUGCGCAGGCAGCUUACUAAACUACUACUGACGCUCAGGCACGAAGGCGUGGGGAUCAAACAGGAUUAGAUACCCUGGUAGUCCACGCAGUAAACGAUGAUUACUAGCUGUUUGCGAUACAAUGUAAGCGGCUGAGCGAAAGCGUUAAGUAAUCCACCUGGGGAGUACGUUCGCAAGAAUGAAACUUAAAGGAAUUGACGGGG